GUAGACGGAGUGCAGGGCGUACUCUGCGUCUGGAGCCCAGCACUUUGUCCCCACUCCCUUCAGGAGCUGAAGUGAAAAUGAAGGUCAAAAUGAUGAAAAGAUGGUUCAUGACAGGAAGAGGAGGAUGGAGAUAAAUGGCCGAGGAGGAGGAGAUGAUGCGGAGAAGCUCUGAUGGAGACGUAUAGCAAUCUGGAUAUGAACUGCACUCAUGUGAAAGCAUUUUUGUCUUGGAUGAGGACAUCAGGGAGGGGAGAUGAAAUAAAGCAGUGCUAUGAGA
This is a long non-coding RNA of Sander lucioperca (pikeperch), 277 nucleotides long. RefSeq lists it as uncharacterized. The transcript has 3 exons. The record is from RefSeq and is a predicted model, not a curated record. Lineage: Eukaryota; Metazoa; Chordata; Actinopteri; Perciformes; Percidae.